GAUGAAGAACGUAGCAAAAUGAGAUACUUGGUGUGAAUUGCAGAAUCCCGUGAACCAUCGAGUCUUUGAACGCAAGUUGCGCCCGAAGCCAUUAGGCCGAGGGCACGCCUGCCUGGGCGUCACACGUCGUUGCCCCCCCAUCUACUCCUUCGGGAUUGCGGGGGGCGGAUGAUGGCCUCCCGUGCGCCUCGCCGCGCGGUUGGCAUAAAUGCCAAGUCCUCGGCGACGCACGCCACGACAAUCGGUGGUUGCGAAACCUCGGUUGCCCGUCGUGUGCGGUCGUCGCGCAUCGAGGGCUCGAAAAAAUUGCCGGGUUCCGGCUCGGCUUUCAACGCGACCCCAGGUCAGGCGGGGUUACCCGCUGAAUUUAAGCAUAUCAAUAAGCGGAGGA
This 391-nucleotide unclassified non-coding RNA is filed under the name soil metagenome. RNAcentral's name for it is "partial contains 5.8S ribosomal RNA, internal transcribed spacer 2, and large subunit ribosomal RNA". The stretch from base 1 to 122 matches the Rfam family "5.8S ribosomal RNA", at positions 35 to 154 of the family's 154-position model. The record is from RNAcentral.